UUCCCCCACUAUACCACAGUGAUGUCAUCUGAUUUUGGAAGCUAAGCAGGGUUGGUGUUGGUUAGGAUUUGGAUGGGAGAUCUCACAAGAAUAUCACAGAUUGUCAGAC
RNAcentral lists this ribosomal RNA (109 nucleotides) under Pogona vitticeps (central bearded dragon). Lineage: Eukaryota; Metazoa; Chordata; Lepidosauria; Squamata; Agamidae. The record is from RNAcentral.